GAGAAAUCUUCAUACUGACGAACUUUAUCGAUCAUCAAAUAUAAUCGCUGGUAGGCUUUGCUUGUGAGUAUAAGGUGGUAGCUGAACCAGUAGCAAUAUUUUCUUGAGAUUUAUGGUUGAAUGGCUGUUACCUCGGAAGAACUUAAUCAAGAGAACCCAACCGACAGAUUUCCUUUGCUCAUGGAGCAAGCAGAAAGUCGUGAGAGGAAUGAACAUGUUAUUGAUGUAGAACAAGGAAGUAGCCCCUCAUCAUCAGGCUCAUCUGAUAAUGAUUCUCCUCAUGAAUUGGAAAUACCCAACCAUG
This 304-nucleotide unclassified non-coding RNA is filed under the name Hevea brasiliensis (rubber tree). Lineage: Eukaryota; Viridiplantae; Streptophyta; Magnoliopsida; Malpighiales; Euphorbiaceae. The record is from RNAcentral.